This 322-nucleotide ribosomal RNA is filed under the name uncultured eukaryote. Its description in RNAcentral is "partial 18S ribosomal RNA". It matches the Rfam family "Eukaryotic small subunit ribosomal RNA", at positions 1470 to 1796 of the family's 1831-position model. The record is from RNAcentral.
CCCUUAGAUGUUCUGGGCCGCACGCGUGCUACACUGAGUACUUCAAUGGGUAAGGGAACGCUAGAGCAUUACCUAAUCUUGAAAUUUGCUCGUGAUGGGGAUCGACGGUUGCAAUUUUCCGUCGUGAACGAGGAAUACCUUGUAGGCGCAUGUCAUCAUCAUGCGCCGAAUACGUCCCUGCCCUUUGUACACACCGCCCGUCGCUCCUACCGAUUGAGUGAUCCGGUGAGGCUCUGGGACCUGGACGGAAAGAGCGUUUCGCUUGUUCUGGUUGGGAAACUUGGUCGAACCUUAUCAUUUAGAGGAAGGAGAAGUCGUAACA